GCGUCUGUGGGUGAUAUCCCCGUCCGACUACCUUCUAAGCAGUCGGUCCGGGGUUCGAAUCCCUGCAGGCGCGCCA
This 76-nucleotide transfer RNA is filed under the name Deltaproteobacteria bacterium. RNAcentral describes it as "tRNA-OTHER". It matches the Rfam family "tRNA". From Rfam's summary of the family: Transfer RNA (tRNA) molecules are approximately 80 nucleotides in length. Their secondary structure includes four short double-helical elements and three loops (D, anti-codon, and T loops). Lineage: Bacteria; Pseudomonadati; Myxococcota; Myxococcia. The record is from RNAcentral.